CUCAAUCCUUAACCUCUGUGUCUUUUUUUGGUUGUUUUCCCUUUUAGGCGAAGGAGAUUGAAACUUUUGACCUUGAAAGUUUGAAAAUCCAAGAGGAUUUUCCACCAUUCUGGCAUUUGAGAAUCUGUUUCCAGAGUUGGGGCAAUGCUCAUGUCUCAAGGAGCAAGAAGUGGUAAUUGGAAGUGACCUUCCAGAUUCCAGCCCAGCAGAAGCUGAAACAGCAGCAAUGUCACCUUUGGACAUUAACUUGGUAUGAGCAAAUGCUAUGCAAAAACUGAGGUCUAUGGUCUAAUCAUCCUCUUCACUUGACCCUCAUCUCAUGGGUUCUGGAAGUCCCAAGACUCUACAUCCUACAUACUUCUUUACUCUGGAUCUUUUUUCUCAAACAAUGAAGCUAUGCCUCCUUUGGGAAGAGUAAAUAUAGAAAAAUGACAACAUGUACAUUAAUGCUCGUUAGAAUGUCAUCAUUAUAUUUCGCCAAGUGUCUGCUGAGGGGAUCCCUGAAGGACACUUAGAAGCCAAGCAGCUGCUCCAGAUUGGUUCCAGCUCACAUCUCUGAGAAAUGACAUUGAGAUAAAUACAACAUUUCAAGUGGAGUCCAUGAGGGAAGGGUGAGAACUGGACUCUUCUUGGGGAGGGAGAAGGGUGGAGAUGACAAGCGGUAGUGGGCUAGUAGGGACCCAUGAAUACCAAAAGUUCCCUGAGAAAGGAGAUCUUGGGAUUAAAAUAAAUCUAUAAAUUAGGAAAGAGUGUAAGGAGGG
This 761-nucleotide long non-coding RNA is filed under the name Monodelphis domestica (gray short-tailed opossum). Its description in RNAcentral is "lncRNA (ENSMODG00000037160.1)". The record is from RNAcentral. Lineage: Eukaryota; Metazoa; Chordata; Mammalia; Didelphimorphia; Didelphidae.